GCUGAACCUCUCACUUGCUCCCCCCUUACAGUGUUCUCAUUUGAACUUGCUUUCGUCUAUUUUUGACACUCAAAUUGAAAAAAACAAAAAUCAAUGUACAAACUCUGCCUGUGAGCAGCAUCAGUUGACCUUUUAUUCAAGAACCCCUUUUUUUAUGCCAACAAUUUGAUUUGCUAAAUUGCGGAAAUCUUUCUAGUCUUUCGUCUCUUCAUUUUGGAGGAAUUGUUUUCACCAACUGCUGGACAAGAUAUCGGGAAAGUGACUAAGUGGAAUAUGGGGCAAAAGGACGAGAGACAGGAAAAACUUCCAGGGAGGAGGGACUCUGCCUGCAGCGACCGCUUCACUCCGCAUGGGCCACCAUCCCUAUCUGGAUCACUUUUACUACGGUCUCCAUCCAGACUUGCUUCUUCACUUCUUCCUCUUCCUCCUCCUCCUCCCUGUCACCUUUUUGACCUGACUCACUCCUAAAAUGCUUUGCUAAAGCUGGUAAAAUGGAACCAAAUCAACUGUUCAAUGGAUUUGGUCCCCUUCAACCAGCUGUAGCUGUGCAUUGAUCACUCCGAACACACAUGUGAAGAGGGACAAACAAACAGAGAGAGACGCGCUGGACAGACUCGAGCUAAUUCACUGGAAAACAGCUUUAAGAUCUAAAACUGAAACUGCAUUAGUUUCGUCAUGGAAACAAUUGGACUGAGACACAAAAUCAGUCAUCAGUUACUGUGUGGAUUUAUCUCUAUCACACAGAUUACCCAAAAGACACUGAAGUCAUUUGCUAAAGCUGAAUAAAACAAGCCAGGUAAGUAAUUAUAGAUACUGUAUCUUGGUAAAUUUGUAUUUUUGUUGUGUACUGCUAUAAUUGCAUUGUUCUUUGGAGACGUUUUUUAUUGUUCUUUGCAGAUUUUUUUGACUCGUGUGUGUGUGUGUGUGUGUGUGUGUGUGUGUGUGUUAUGUGCAACCAACGUGGAGGUAUGUAUGAGGAGCUAUUGAGUGCAUGAAAAAAUGCUAUGUAAGAAAAACAUUUGUGAUGUGCAUGCAUGUAUGUGUGUGUCUCUGACUCCUAAUGCACAUGUCUGAUCAAUAAAGCCUCAUCAUGGAGUUCAUAUAAA
This is a long non-coding RNA of Lates calcarifer (barramundi perch), 1106 nucleotides long. RefSeq lists it as uncharacterized. The transcript is spliced from 3 exons. The record is from RefSeq and is a predicted model, not a curated record. Lineage: Eukaryota; Metazoa; Chordata; Actinopteri; Centropomidae.